UACGAAGGGUGCAAGCGUUACUCGGAAUUACUGGGCGUAAAGCGUGCGUAGGUGGUGAGUUAAGUCUGAUGUGAAAUCCCCGGGCUCAACCUGGGAAUGGCAUUGGAUACUGGCUCGCUGGAGUGCGGUAGAGGGUGGUGGAAUUCCCGGUGUAGCAGUGAAAUGCGUAGAUAUCGGAAGGAACAUCAGUGGCGAAAGCGACUUCCUGGACCAGUACCGACGUUCAGGCACGAAAGCGUGGGGAGCAAACAGG
Molecule: ribosomal RNA, 253 nt
Filed under: uncultured bacterium
Lineage: Bacteria
Description: partial 16S ribosomal RNA
Rfam family: Bacterial small subunit ribosomal RNA
Source: RNAcentral